GAUUUCUGGUUCGGCGCACUUGGCCCGUCUCGGUUUACGGGAUUGUGUGCCGGUGUGCGCCAUCCAUCCUUCGAGAGAACGCUCCUACCCUUUACUGGGUCGGCGGGCGACCUUUCUCGAUCUUUUACUUUGAAAAAAUUAGAGUGUUUAAAGCAGGCUUGCGCUAUGAAUACAUUAGCAUGGAAUAAUAAUUUAGGACUUCGGUUCUAUUUUGUUGGUUUCUAGGACUGAAGUAAUGAUUGAUAGGGAUAGUUGGGGGUGCUAGUAUUCAGCGGCCAGAGGUGAAAUUCUCGGAUUCGCUGAAGACUAACUUAUGCGAAAGCAUU
Molecule: ribosomal RNA, 326 nt
Filed under: Cercomonas sp.
Lineage: Eukaryota; Cercozoa; Cercomonadida; Cercomonadidae
Description: SSU rRNA
Rfam family: Eukaryotic small subunit ribosomal RNA (bases 113-326)
Source: RNAcentral